AUGUGAUGCACACCAAACGUUGUUAAAUUAAAAUUUUGCAGACAUCAAUACAAAAUCCAAGGAUAAUGGCAUCUAAAUCAAGAUAUGAUACAUUCAGCAUAGUUUUGAUUGGAACCAAAGGCAGUGGUAAAAGCUCAACAGGAAAUUGUAUUUAUGGAGAAAACAAAUUUCAAGUUUUCGUUGGAACAAAAAAUGGUACGGGGCGCAUCGAAAGUGCCAGAAAAGGAUAUCGUGAUACAGAUAUCGUUGUCGUUGACACGCCUGGAGUGCGUGAUAAUAGCAACUUAAGAGAAAUUAUGCUAUAUUUGCAGGAUUCAGAAAACGUGGUGUUUGCAAUCGUGAUUGCAAUAGGUAGAUAUACAACAUUAGAUAAAAAGCUGCUUAUCGAUAUAAGUAAAGAGUACAAAGACAUUUUGAAAAAAUCAAUUAUUAUUUUCACCAGAAGAAACGAGCUUGACACGUUUGAAAUUCCAGAAAAUAGGACAAUUGAUAAUUGGCUGAAAACUGUCCCUACGUUAUCAACUUUCAUUGAUAAAUUUAAACUUCAAUUUCGCGUUUUUGAAAAUGUGGAUGUAGACUCGAGAUCAAAAGCCGCACAAGUGAAGGAUGUCAUAGAACUUUGCAGGGAAAUUGUUCAAGAUCCAGUAUCUUCUGAAAGGGAAACCGGGUUCGAAAGAACCAUACAAGUUAGUUUCAACGAUAUUCAAGAACGGUUUGGAAGUUCAGGGGUUGAAUAUUUCGAAAAAAAGUAUAAAUGCCAAAGAAAAAUGUGAAGACUAUACAUAAACGAUUAACAGAUGGCUUUUGCAAAGAGGAAGUCUUUGAGAUAGAAAUGUGGUUUUCAUUGUUAAAUACUGACUUUCCUAAAUUAAAAUUCUAUAUAUAAAAUU
Mytilus californianus (California mussel) is the source of this 890-nucleotide long non-coding RNA. RefSeq lists it as uncharacterized. NCBI's taxonomy places the organism in Eukaryota, Metazoa, Mollusca, Bivalvia, Mytilida, Mytilidae. The transcript is spliced from 2 exons. The record is from RefSeq and is a predicted model, not a curated record.